RNAcentral lists this ribosomal RNA (576 nucleotides) under uncultured eukaryote. RNAcentral describes it as "bacterial SSU rRNA". It matches the Rfam family "Eukaryotic small subunit ribosomal RNA", at positions 174 to 777 of the family's 1831-position model. The record is from RNAcentral.
AAUACUCGUUUGAGUAGCAUUUAUUAGAUUGAAACCAAUGUAAUUGUUGAAUCAUAAUAACUGUGCGGAUCGUUCGUCAAGAGCGAUGAAUCGACUGGGUUUCUGCCCUAUCAGUUUUGGAUGGCUGUGUAUUGGACAGCCAUGACAUUGACGGGUAACGGAGGAUUAGGGUUCGACACCGGAGAGGGCGCCUGAGAGACGGCGACCACAUCCAAGGAAGGCAGCAGGCGCGUAAAUUACCCAAUGCUAAUUCAGCGAGGUAGUGACAAGAAAUAACGAUUUUCGGUCUUUCAGAUCGGAAAAUUGGAAUGAGAACAAUUUAAAUCCCUUAUCGAGGAUCAAUUGGAGGGCAAGUCUGGUGCCAGCAGCCGCGGUAAUUCCAGCUCCAAUAGCGUAUAUUAAAGUUGUUGCAGUUAAAAAGCUCGUAGUUGGAUUUACGUUUGUUUUCAGUGAUUUGGCAAUUUCAUAAUUGUUGAGCAUUGCAAGGCAAACAUUAUUUGGGAGCAGGGGUUUCUUGGCAUUGAGUUGUUGAGAUUCAACUACCCAUCGUUUACUGUGAAAAAAUUAGAGUGUUUA